RNAcentral lists this long non-coding RNA (1227 nucleotides) under Salmo salar (Atlantic salmon). Its description in RNAcentral is "lncRNA (ENSSSAG00000100628.1, ENSSSAG00000108805.1)". Lineage: Eukaryota; Metazoa; Chordata; Actinopteri; Salmoniformes; Salmonidae. The record is from RNAcentral.
UGGUCUCUGGGGUGUAGCAGGGUGUAAUGUUGUUGUGGUCUCUGGGGUGUAGCAGGGUAUAAUGUUGUUGGUCUCUGGGGUGUAGCAGGGUGUAAUGUUGUUGGUCUCUGGGGUGUAGCAGGGUGUAAUGUUGUUGUCUCUGGGGUGUAGCAGGGUGUAAUGUUGUUGGUCUCUGGGGUGUAGCAGGGUGUAAUGUUGUUGUUGUCUCUGGGGUGUAGCAGGGUGUAAUGUUGUUGGUCUCUGGGGUGUAGCAGGGUGUAAUGUUGUUGGUCUCUGGGGUGUAGCAGAGUGUAAUGUUGUUGUCUCUGGGGUGUAGCAGGGUGUAAUGUUGUUGUGGUCUCUGGGGUGUAGCAGGGUGUAAUGUUGUUGUGGUCUCUGGGGUGUAGAAGGGUGUAAUGAUGUUGUGGUCUCUGGGGUGUAGCAGGGUAUAAUGUUGUUGUGGUCUCUGGGGUGCAGCAGGGUGUAAUGUUGUUGUGGUCUCUGGGGUGUAGCAGGGUGUAGCAGGGUGUAAUGUUGUUGUGGUCUCUGGGGUGUAGCAGGGUGUAAUGUUGUUGUGGCCUCUGGGGUGUAGCAGGGUGUAAUGUUGUUGUGGUCUCUGGGGUGUAGCAGGGUGUAAUGUUGUUGGUCUCUGGGGUGUAGCAGGGUGUAAUGUUGUUGGUCUCUGGGGUGUAGCAGGGUGUAAUGUUGCUGGUCUCUGGGGUGUAGCAGGGUGUAAUGUUGUUGUGGUCUCUGGGGUGUAGCAGGGUGUAAUGUUGUUGGUCUCUGGGGUGUAGCAGGGUGUAAUGUUGUUGUUGUCUCUGGGGUGUAGCAGGGUGUAAUGUUGUUGGUCUCUGGGGUGUAGCAGGGUGUAAUGUUGUUGUGGUCUCUGGGUUGUAGCAGGGUGUAAUGUUGUUGUUGGUAUCUGGGGUGUAGCAGGGUGUAAUGUUGUUGGUCUCUGGGGUGUAGCAGGGUGUAAUGUUGUUGUUGGUCUCUGGGGUGUAGCAGGGUGUAAUGUUGUUGUGGUCUCUGGGGUGUAGCAGGGUGUAAUGUUGUUGUGGUCUCUGGGGUGUAGCAGGGUGUAAUGUUGUUGUGGUCUCUGGGGUGUAGCAGGGUGUAGCAGGGUGUAAUGUUGUUGGUCUCUGGGGUGUAGCAGGGUGUAAUGUUGUUGGUCUCUGGGGUGUAGCAGGGUGUCAUGUUGUUGUGGUCUCUGGGGUGUGGCAGGGUGUAAUGUUGUUGGUCUCUGGGGUG